UUUCCGUAGGUGAACCUGCGGAAGGAUCAUUGUCGAAACCUGCCCAGCAGAACGACCCGCGAACUUGUAUAAACAACUGGGGGCGGGGGGGGCGUUCUCGCCCCGUGCCCCCGAACGGCGGGGAGACACUCGUGCCUUCUUGCCGAACAACGAACCCCGGCGCGGUUUGCGCCAAGGAACUUUAACCAAAGAGUGCCUCCGGUCGCCUCGGAAACGGCGUGCGUGCCGGAGGCGAAUCUUGUGCAAAACCAUAACGACUCUCGGCAACGGAUAUCUCGGCUCUC
RNAcentral lists this unclassified non-coding RNA (284 nucleotides) under plant metagenome. RNAcentral's name for it is "partial contains small subunit ribosomal RNA, internal transcribed spacer 1, and 5.8S ribosomal RNA". The record is from RNAcentral.